UCUUGCCCAAAGUUUCCCAGCUGGUGAGUGAUGGAGCAAGUGUUCGAAUCCAGGGAGUGUGACCCCAGAGCCCAUGUGUUUACCUUCUGCUUCUGAGUCAACUGAGCAGUAACUUCAAGGAGACCCACCUUCUGGGUCAUGAAGCUGGGGAGAGCGAGUGAAAAAGAGAGGAGGAAGGAUGGUCUGGCCCGGAAGAGAGGCCUUAUGGACAGACGGGGAGGUCAGUGAGCAGGGCCUGCCUCCGGCCUUUAAAGGCCCAAACAUCAUCAGACAUCCAUCUUUGAAGCAAGAUUGCAGUGCUGGGCUUGGAAAGACUGACCCUGGGAUUUUUAUAGCUGAAAUCAGCCCAGCCCAGCUCAGCCCAUGAACUAAACUACAGGCAGCAGGACAGAAGAUGGAAGAACACAGGCUGCAGUCAGAGGCCUCUGUGUCCAAAGGCCAGCUCUGCCACAAGUGACCCAGCCUCUCUAAAUGUCAAU
This 479-nucleotide long non-coding RNA is filed under the name Equus caballus (horse). RNAcentral describes it as "lncRNA (ENSECAG00000043787.2)". The record is from RNAcentral. Lineage: Eukaryota; Metazoa; Chordata; Mammalia; Perissodactyla; Equidae.